UACAGAGGGUGCAAGCGUUAAUCGGAAUUACUGGGCGUAAAGCGUGCGUAGUCGGUUAUCUAAGUCGGAUGUGAAAUCCCCGGGCUCAACCUGGGAAUUGCAUUCGAUACUGGAUAGCUAGAGUUCGGCAGAGGGAAGUGGAAUUUCGGGUGUAGCGGUGAAAUGCGUAGAUAUCCGAAGGAACAUCAGUGGCGAAAGCGACUUCCUGGACCAGAACUGACGCUCAUGCACGAAAGCGUGGGGAGCAAACAGG
Molecule: ribosomal RNA, 253 nt
Filed under: uncultured bacterium
Lineage: Bacteria
Description: partial 16S ribosomal RNA
Rfam family: Bacterial small subunit ribosomal RNA
Source: RNAcentral